This 358-nucleotide transfer RNA is filed under the name Microcystis aeruginosa CST1-2. Its description in RNAcentral is "16S-23S ribosomal RNA intergenic spacer". The stretch from base 133 to 206 matches the Rfam family "tRNA". Lineage: Bacteria; Bacillati; Cyanobacteriota; Cyanophyceae; Chroococcales; Microcystaceae. RNAcentral also lists the same sequence under 1 other name. The record is from RNAcentral.
AAGGGAGACCUAAUUCCGGUAGGAGACGAAAAAAAAGUAGUCCCUACCAAGAAUCAAUCCCAAAAGGUCGGAACGAGGUAUGAGGCUUUCAAACUAGGUUCUGGGUUCAUAAAAGACCUGAAUCAGGAACAAGGGCUAUUAGCUCAGGUGGUUAGAGCGCACCCCUGAUAAGGGUGAGGUCCCUGGUUCGAGUCCAGGAUGGCCCACCUGCACAGGUGGCAAAAACAAGAGAAGCGAGGAAUCAGCACCUUAUCUUGUAUACAUAUAUAAGAGAGAAUGCUGGCUCUGAGUACAGAGUCCAGAGGAACCUUGAAAACUGCAUAGAGCUAGGUGAAAAAGCCAAAAAAGAAGACCGCAA